Molecule: ribosomal RNA, 259 nt
Filed under: uncultured prokaryote
Description: partial 16S ribosomal RNA
Rfam family: Bacterial small subunit ribosomal RNA
Source: RNAcentral
UACGUAGGGUGCAAGCGUUGUCCGGAAUUAUUGGGCGUAAAGAGCUCGUAGGCGGCUUGUCGCGUCUGCUGUGAAAUCCCGGGGCUCAACCCCGGGCCUGCAGUGGGUACGGGCAAGCUAGAGUGCGGUAGGGGAGAUUGGAAUUCCUGGUGUAGCGGUGGAAUGCGCAGAUAUCAGGAGGAACACCAAUGGCGAAGGCAGGUCUCUGGGCAGUUACUGACGCUGAGGAGCGAAAGCAUGGGUAGCGAACAGGAUUAGA